CCUGCUCAAUGAAAUUAAAUAGCCGCUAUUUAGUGCUAAGGUAGCAUAAUCACUUGUCUUUUAAUUUAAGAAUAGAAUGAAGGGACAAACGAGUUAAAAUCUUUAUUUAAUAUUCCUAAUUAAACUUAUUUAAAAGUAAAAAAGCUUUUUUAUUAAGAAAAGACGACAAGACCCUUUAGAACUUCACUAUAAGUUAAGCUGGGGUGGCUAUAGUCUAUUAUCAAAACUAAUCUAAUUUAAAUAAAAACCCAUUAUUAGAAUAUUACAAGUUACCUAAGGGAUAACAGUAUAAUAAUAUUUCAAAGCACUUAUAAUAAAUAUUGAUUAUAACCUCGAUGUUGAAUUACUUUACUAUUAAAAGAAAAUUUUUAAAAAGUAAGUCUGUUCGACUUUUAAAUAAGUACAU
RNAcentral lists this ribosomal RNA (406 nucleotides) under Althepus sp. 297 FL-2018. Its description in RNAcentral is "partial 16S ribosomal RNA". It matches the Rfam family "Bacterial large subunit ribosomal RNA", at positions 1858 to 2601 of the family's 2925-position model. Lineage: Eukaryota; Metazoa; Arthropoda; Arachnida; Araneae; Ochyroceratidae. The record is from RNAcentral.